GGCGGACGGGUGAGUAAUGUCUGGGAAACUGCCUGAUGGAGGGGGAUAACUACUGGAAACGGUAGCUAAUACCGCAUAACGUCGCAAGACCAAAGAGGGGGACCUUCGGGCCUCUUGCCAUCGGAUGUGCCCAGAUGGGAUUAGCUUGUUGGUGGGGUAACGGCUCACCAAGGCGACGAUCCCUAGCUGGUCUGAGAGGAUGACCAGCCACACUGGAACUGAGACACGGUCCAGACUCCUACGGGAGGCAGCAGUGGGGAAUAUUGCACAAUGGGCGCAAGCCUGAUGCAGCCAUGCCGCGUGUAUGAAGAAGGCC
Molecule: ribosomal RNA, 316 nt
Filed under: Escherichia coli
Lineage: Bacteria; Pseudomonadati; Pseudomonadota; Gammaproteobacteria; Enterobacterales; Enterobacteriaceae
Description: bacterial SSU rRNA
Rfam family: Bacterial small subunit ribosomal RNA
Source: RNAcentral